UCCUCAGUAGCUCAAUGGUAGAACGGUUGGUCAUUAAUUGACCGAUCGUAGGUUCGAAUCCUACUUAGGGAG
This 72-nucleotide transfer RNA is filed under the name Eucalyptus grandis. It matches the Rfam family "tRNA". From Rfam's summary of the family: Transfer RNA (tRNA) molecules are approximately 80 nucleotides in length. Lineage: Eukaryota; Viridiplantae; Streptophyta; Magnoliopsida; Myrtales; Myrtaceae. The record is from Rfam by way of RNAcentral.